UUUUCAGUAUCGCAGCGAAAGCGAUAAACACACCGCCUGGGGAGUACGACCGCAAGGUUAAAACUCAAAUGAAUUGACGGGGACCCGCACAAGUAGUGGAGCAUGUGGUUUAAUUCGAAGAUACGCGCAGAACCUUACCAACACUUGACAUGUUCGUCGCGACUCUAAGAGAUUAGAGUUUUCGGUUCGGCCGGACGGAACACAGGUGCUGCAUGGCUGUCGUCAGCUCGUGUCGUGAGAUGUUGGGUUAAGUCCCGCAACGAGCGCAACCCUUACUUUUAGUUGCCACCAUUUAGUUGGGCACUCUGAAAGAACUGCCAGUGAUAAGCUGGAGGAAGGUGGGGAUGACGUCAAGUCCUCAUGGCCCUUACGUGUUGGGCUACACACGUGCUACAAUGGCAUUUACAAUAGGAAGCAAGACGGCGACGUUAAGCAAAUCCUAAAAAAAUGCCUCAGUUCGGAUUGUACUCUGCAACUCGAGUACAUGAAGCUGGAAUUACUAGUAAUCGCGGAUCAGCGCGCCGCGGUGAAUGCGUUCCCGGGUCUUGUACACACCGCCCGUCACACCAUGGGAGUUGGUUCUACCUUAAGGCAAAGCUUAAAACCUUUGACCACGGUAUAGUCAGCGACUGGGGUGAAGUCGUAACAAGGUAGCCGUAGGGGAACCUGCGGCUGGAUUACCUCCUU
Molecule: ribosomal RNA, 687 nt
Filed under: uncultured marine alpha proteobacterium
Lineage: Bacteria; Pseudomonadati; Pseudomonadota; Alphaproteobacteria
Description: bacterial SSU rRNA
Rfam family: Bacterial small subunit ribosomal RNA
Source: RNAcentral